Molecule: ribosomal RNA, 407 nt
Filed under: uncultured bacterium
Lineage: Bacteria
Description: partial 16S ribosomal RNA
Rfam family: Bacterial small subunit ribosomal RNA
Source: RNAcentral
AUUGAACGCUAGCGGGAUGCCUUACACAUGCAAGUCGAACGGAGUGGCGAACGGGUGUGUAAUGUAUCGGAACGUGCCCAGUAGCGGGGGAUAACUACGCGAAAGCGUAGCUAAUACCGCAUACUAUUGGAGCGGCCGAUAUCGGAUUAGCAAGCUGGUGGGGUAACGGCUCACCAAGGCGACGAUACGUAGCUGGUUUGAUCGGACGACCAGCCAAUGUGGGACUGAGACACGGCCCAGAAUCCUACGGGGGGCAGCAGUGGGGAAUUUUGGACAAUGGGGGAAACCCUGAUCCAGCCAUCCCGCGUGUGCGAUGAGGGCCUGCGGGUUGUAAAGCACUUUUGGUAGGAAAGCGGUACCUGCAGAAUAAGGACCGGCUAACUACGUACCAGCAGCCGCGGUAAUAC